GCGAUGCGAGCGAUGAGCUGGAUGGCCUCCUUCAUGUAGAACCGGCCGUCCCCGCCCACCACCAGCGUGGCCUCCUGCCGCUGCGCCGGCUCCACGGUGGAGAUGAUACUCUGGAUGAAGUUCUCCGCGUAGUUGGCGCUGCUCUGGAACACCUUCACCCGCUUCCGCAGCCCGCUCGUGCCCGGCUUCUGGUCCUGUUUUAUUUUGGAUGUCGACAAAAGCCCUGAUUACCAUGCUGCCCUAGCAACAACAGUGUAAGAGGGUUCCCUUUUCUCCACAUCCUUGCCAGCAUUUGAAGUCCACAUGAAAGAAAAUUAUAUCUUCUGUUCAGUUUUGAGAAAAAAGUGUUAAAAGAUCACUGAAGUUGGAUGGUCUGUUAGAAGAAAAUUCAUUUGAUCCUUCAAAAAUCACAAGGAAGAAAAGUGUUAUAACUUAUUCUCCAACAACUGGAACUUGUCAAAUGAGUCUAUUUGCUUCUCCCACAAGUUCUGAAGAGCAAAAGCA
Molecule: long non-coding RNA, 504 nt
Filed under: Homo sapiens (human)
Lineage: Eukaryota; Metazoa; Chordata; Mammalia; Primates; Hominidae
Description: non-protein coding lnc-ITGB3BP-5:1
Source: RNAcentral